Oncorhynchus mykiss (rainbow trout) is the source of this 4406-nucleotide non-coding RNA. The record is from RefSeq and is a predicted model, not a curated record. NCBI's taxonomy places the organism in Eukaryota, Metazoa, Chordata, Actinopteri, Salmoniformes, Salmonidae.
ACCUUCUAGCCCGAGGUCCGGCGCUCUAUCGACUGUGCCGCAAAAGCAUGCUCGAUCUACUUCACGUCGCCUGAAUAUGACGGCAUAAACCCUUGCCAUGGACAUGCUCGUACUGUCUGUGCCGGGAACUGGAUGCAGCCACUCCAACCAGAAUUAAAUAGAUGACCUCUGAUGAGAAAUGGAUGGUGAUGGUGAUAUGGACCCAGGCAGGGACGACUUGCCCCUCAGAGCCAACACCAACCACAUCCUGGUCAGACACUAUGUCUUGGACCUGGACAUAAGCCUCCAAACUAAGGUUAUCACUGGUACUGUGGUGCUCUUCCUGGAGCCAGGCCCACUGGCUGGAGAUGGGAAUGAGGCUGGGGAAGGGGCCCCAACCCCACCCCAACCAUCCCAGACCGAUGACUCCUGGGAGGAUGAGAGCCACAGAGACUUUACCUUAGUUCUGGACUGCUGUGACCUCACUGUGUCAAAAGUAGAGGAGUUGGACGUGACCUCUGUGUCAGAUAUGCAGGGUCUCCUAAAGGAGGUCAAGGGUGAGGGGUUAGGGGUUGGCCCACAACCAGACAGCCAAUCAGCUGUGCUCAUUCAGAGGCUGAUCUCCCUACCGUCCACCCAAUGGAAAAAGCAACACCACCUGUACUUCCAGUGCAGUCAUGCCCCUGCUUCUGAGGGUGGGGGACCCCUCAUCUUCCACACUGACCGCUGGAGCCUGCAGGUGAGGAAGAGGGGGGUUCGGACCAUCCAGGAGUUCCCCCGAGCCCUGAGGGUCUGCUACAAGACCAAGCCGGAGGGAGGCUCUGUCAGGUGGACUAAAGAUCAGGACAACAGGUCAUGUGUUUACACCGCCGGCUCCCCCAUCAACAACCGUGCCCUCUUCCCCUGUCAGGAGCCUCCUGUCGCCAUGUCGACGUGGCAGGCCCAGGUACGAGCCCCUAGGGAGUGUGUGGUUCUAUUGAGUGGAGAGAACCAGGCCCAGCCCACGCACCUGCACCACACAGGUCUCUCUAGCUGGGACUACUAUGUCACUAUGCCUAUGCCUGCCUCCACUUUUACCUUGGCAGUGGGUUACUGGCGCCAGGCCACAGCACAACUUUCCACAGCACAGCUUACCCCUCCUGUGCAGGGUACAAGGGCUGGGGCUUCUCAUACGCAUGCUGGCAGCUUGGACCUGAAUCCAUUCACCAACAUGGACCAUCCCAUCAUCACCAGCCCACAGUCUACAUUAGUCUACUCAGGCCUGAAGGAUGAGAAGCACUCUGAGAGCGUCUGCUUAGGUCUGGGCGAUGACAACUUCACCUGUUGCCAUACUGAUUACCCCUGUCCAUUCACCGACCCAUCCGCCUGGAGCCAAGAGGUGGUCCCUCACCGGAUGUUUGCCCCGCCCUCUCUGCUGCAGAAGGCCCAGGUCCAGGUCCUCCCCCUUCUGCCUGGCUGCCUGGCUGCAGCCCACGCUACCCUGGGGGUUCAUCCCUUCCCCCGCCUCGACAUACUCAUCGUCCCAGCAAGCUUCUCUAGCCUGGGCAUGGCCAGCCCCCACAUCAUUUUCCUGUCACAGAGUGUGCUGUGUGGAGACAGAGAGGGAGACGGAGAGGGAGUUGGAGGAGAGCGGGGCCUGUCUCUGUGUGGGUCUCGUCUGUGCCAUGAGUUGUCCCACUCGUGGUUUGGCCUUGCCAUCGGGGCCCGGGACUGGACAGAGGAGUGGAUCAGUGAGGGCUUUGCCACCUACCUGGAGGACAUCAUCUGGGCCCGGGCACAGCAGUUGUCCAGCAAAGAGACAGAGGAACAGUCUCAACUCAAGGCUCUGCUGAGGUGGAGGAGACUCUCAGACGAACUACAGAACUCCGAGGAGCAGCUGCAGAUCCUCAGGCCCAACAUGGAGAGUACAGGCCAGGUCAGUGAGUCUGGGUCGUCCCUGGUCAAACAUGCCCUCAACCCUGAGAAAACCUUCAUGCAAGUCCACUACCUCAAGGGCUACUUCCUCCUCAGGUUCCUGGCCAGUAAAGUAGGACUUGAAUACUUCCUCCACUUCUUCAGACUCUUUAUAAAGAAAUACCAUGGACAACUAAUUCUCUCUCAGGAUUUCUUGCAAAUGCUGCUGGAGACCUUUCCUGACAUGGAGCGGGGUCAAAUUAAGAUCCGACAUCUGUAUUUGAAGGUGUUGCCCGAAACAUUACGACAAGGCCUAACCCUUGAAGCUAUUUAUGCAGACUGGCUGGAUCGACCAGGAGUUCCUAAGUGGCUGUGUGAAGGGAGUGUCGUAUGGACACAGACUCGGCUGGUGGAAGACGUCAAAGCGGAGGUAGCAAAAUGGAUUGGUCUCAGUCCGAGCGUUGGAAAAGGCAGAAAGCGGAAGAAAGCUGGACUGAACGUGAACUUCAAAGAGGUGAUGCCGGAGCAGCUGGUGUUGCUAUUGGAGAUUCUGCUGGAGGAGGAGGAGCUAAGUGUGACAUCACUGCAUACGAUCAAGAGAACCUACGAUCUACCGAAGCAGGACGCUGAGGUGAGGCAUCGCUGGUGUGAGCUGGUGGUCAAACACAAAUACGCUCAGGCUUAUGGAGAUGUGGAGCACUUCCUCAUACACGACCAGGCCAUGGGUGUUUAUCUGUAUGGGGAGCUGAUGAUUCAAGAGGACUCUAGACAACAGGCUCUGGCCAGGCGCUGCUUCUCAUUGGUCCAGAACGAAAUGGACCAAUCAGCUCGCAGAGUGGUAGAGGAGAUGGUCCUAUGAGGUGGCACACAAAAGGUACUGACCCACCCAGCUGUGCCGUCUCAAAAUUAUAGGUGGACUCCAAUCAAGUUGUAGAAACAUCUCAAGGAUGAAAAAAUGGAAACAGGAUGCACCUGAUCUCAAUUUGGAGUCUUACGGCAAAGGGUCUGAAUACUUAUGUAAAUAAGGCUGCCCAGCUGCCCGCCUUGGGACAUGGAAGGGAGAGGAAACGCUGAGAAAGUAAUGCUCUCACUACUUCCCCUCCAGACAGGAAGACCAAACGCCAACCUGUUUUCUUUCCUGCAUGAUCAAUGAAGUUAAAGCACUGUACUGUACAUACUAAUAGUAAUAGGUGAUGUGUAGAUAGGCCUGCAUCCCAAAAUGGCACCCUAUUUCCUAUAUAGUGCACUACUUUUGACCAGUGCCCUAUUAGCCCUUUGACUUUGGGCAAAAGUAGUAAACUAUAAUGGGAAUAUGUUGUCAUUUGGUACACCCAUAGUUAUGUUCUCCCAGAAUUCUCAAAAAUAUAGGAAUCGAAAAUAAAGACUAUUCUCAUGGCAUUUGUAUAAAUAUAAUAAUGCCUCUUUACUGAACUUUCUGAUUUAGCCUCAGUUUCAAUUCUCCUCAUUAGGAAAUGCGACUGAGAAUGAGAUUUGGGUCUUGGAGGUGUCCUUUGAUGUGGAGAUUUGGGUCUUGGAGGUGUGCUUUGAUGUGUCUCUUGUGUGUUCGAACGUGGGAUCGUUUGUACAUUCAUUCUGCAACAAAAAAAAACAGUACAGCUACAGUCACUCACCCUUCUAGAUAACUUGAAACAGUCUAACCAGGUCUUGUGUCUGGAAGCCACCUGCAGAUUCAUACUACAGCUAUGACAAUCAGUUUGUAUUACUAGUAGUAUGGGUUGGGAUUAUGGUUAAUUUUUUUUUAGCUAGCUAGCUACAUUACACGGCCCAUCAAGUUAGCCAGUUGUAUCUGGGGGUGAUUACGGCCAUCUACUGUAUUUCCUGAACAUGUGUACAUGUCUAGACAAUAGUGACCCAUCCACUUAGCUGGAUGUGGCUGGGGAGUGGUUAUAGCAUGACCCAUCCAAUGUAAACAAGUGUGUCUGGGUAAGCAGCUGAUAAUGAUCAAAUAUUUUUAUCUGGACACUUUCUGUUUUUUGAUAUUGCUACUAAUCAAAUAUGUAAGUAAACAUUUCACUGUACCGUUUACACCUUUGUAUCCUGUGCAUGUGACAAAUAAACAUUGAUUUUAUUUGAUAUAGUGUUUUUACCAGAGAAGGUCAUGUGAAGAACAACAUUACCUGCACCAAAGUCAGAUUACGAUAUAGGCCAAGGACGAGAUAAAAUGUAUUUUUACCUGGAUUUUUCCUUAUUGUAGGCUAAUACUUUUACCACUUUUAGUCUUGAAAUCUUUGGUUGUUUACCACACUACCUUACUCACUCGGUUUAGCACAUGGCCCAACAUGUGAAUCCACUAAGAGAUGGGUGGGGCAAAGGCUUAAGAGGGUCUGAACAAUGCUCAAUAAGUGUAUACAAAAAAAGAGCUCUCCAGAAGGUGUACCAAAACAUUGAAGGGCUAUUUUCUCAAAAGUGAGGUUACAAGUUUUUUCAAAUUUCAAAGCAGAAUCACUUUCCCAUUGUUCCUCAACUGCAGUGUAUGAUAUACCAUUUUCUAGUUCUGAGUCCCUACUUUUAUC